Long non-coding RNA from Passer domesticus (house sparrow), 3126 nucleotides. RefSeq lists it as uncharacterized. The record is from RefSeq and is a predicted model, not a curated record. NCBI's taxonomy places the organism in Eukaryota, Metazoa, Chordata, Aves, Passeriformes, Passeridae. The transcript has 8 exons.
GCUGCCAGGAUCCAGCGGGGGGAAAAGCGGAGAGCGGCGUUCACGGACGGUCGGGCGGAGACAUCAUUGCCCUGCUUGAUGUCUCCGAUCUGCGAGCGGGCGCUCGGGGGAAGGUUGAGCCUUUGGAUGCCGGUGAGCAGAGUGCUUUCCUGUGCCCUGUGUUUUAAAGAACAAGCCGAGGUCCUGCAUGUGUUUCUGGCUUGGUGUUUGCAGCCCCUGACAGCCAGCUCUGUCUGACAGAGCUGUUCAAGUGAGCACUAGCCAGUGCUUGCACCCUGCUCCCAGAAGGAGAUUUCACAUUUGAAAGGAGCGCACCACAGAGGAGGUUGUCCAGAAGAUGCCCAUGGGUGUUCUCUUGCAUGGCAAGUACAAGAGCAUCUGUGGGAAAGGGUGUCAGCUGGGAGUGAGAAGCCCUAGUGAGGCAGCUGCAGAGAUGAAACCUCUCCUUGGGAAGAAGUGCAGUUUUGUGUCAUGUUUCACAAAGCAGAAGAGAGCAGCAGGUCGAUGUUUCCACACCAGCCCUGAUUAGCAUGGAUGUCCCUAUUUCAUGUACAACACUUCCCAGCACACAGUCUCUGUUUCCCCAGACCAACUCUUCUGUAGCUGCUGGGAGAACAUGGAAAGCUGGAAGCAAAACCCAAAAGGCUCACAAUUAAAGCUGCAUCUCUUACAAAAGGCUGAGAGCUAAGAGCACAAAAGAUUGAAGUGUUUGUGACAGUCUUGGCAUCUGAGGAGUACAAGCAGCAAGACUGAGGACCCUCUCAUGUAAGGAAACAGUGUCCAGCCUUUGUUCCCCUUUCCUUGCCUGAUGGGUGUGUUCAGAUGGAUGUGCACCAAGCAUGGCCUCAGUAGCGAGAGAUGAGCUCUUCCGCCAGGCCAGCAGAAGGAGCACAGGAUAUGCAGCUGCAGCCCAUCAGUACAGGAUGCUCCUGCACCUUCAAAAAAGUGUAAGCUAGUGGGAGUGAGUGACAACUUCAUACAUCCAGACUUCUCGCUGCCAGGUUAGAAUGGGCAUUUAACUUACCAUCCAUUAAAUCUUCAGCUUCCACUUCUCUCUCCCACCUGGACAGAGACUGGUGACCAGUGCCCUCAGCACAGCCACCUGAGGCUACUUUUCAGCAGAAAGCAGGCUUGAUGCCUCCUGCACUGCUCUGACAGUGAGCAAGGAGUUGCUCAAUCCUCCCUGUGCCAGGUCCCUCCUACUACAAGGACUGGAGGGCAGGGAUUGUUAAGAGAUACUGGAGUGCCGAUGGCUUUUAGGACUCCUGCCAAGACCACCCCCUCCCACCAGUUAAACCAUCAUCCAUAAAAUAACACUGGGAGACAGAUACAGCCUUUCCCACCGGACAGCUUGUCUGCAGAGAAUCCCCCCAGGAGCAGUGGGAGGCAGCUGCGGUGCCAGGGAUGCAGCACCCAGCAGAGCCUGGCUUUGCUCGCUGGCUGUGUUUAAAUUCAGAGCUUAAAUGCUGCCCCAGAGUUGCGUGACUGGCAAAGACCAUCAGCCAGAACAAGUCUCUGCUGAAAUUUGCGCUGUCAAGUCCUUUGCAGCAUCACAGUGACCCAGAAAGCUGAUGUUAUUUCACAUUAUUUCAAGUGGGGUUUUAAGAAAACACAAAACACACCCCAGAACCCCAUGCAUUUUAGUAUUUAAUCAACGAGUCAUCCUCUGGUAGCUGGGGAUGCUGUAUUCAGGUUGCUGAAAGAAAAUAUUUUGACUUCCCAUUUUACAAGCAUAGUCUUUUUCUUCUGUUAUAUGAUGAAAAAUCACUUGGAGACAUCCUGCUUGUUUUCAUGGAGAACUACAGCAGGCAGGGCACUGUAGCAUUCAGCUGUGUGGUACCUGUGUAAAUGUCCAGAAAACUGAGCAGUUUCUCACAAAAUCCACUAUUUUUGUCUGUGGAUGCUGACUUUGCAUUUUUAAGUGGAAAAACAGUAUUAAUCUGAAGAUUUCUCAGUCUUCCUUUUAUUGCCACUAUGAAGCUUUAAAAUUAGAGUGCUAUUUGUAAAGCAGCUGAGAUUCUACUGAAAUGUUCUGUUUUACUGCUAAGUGGAGAAAUGAAGUAUUUCUGCACCAGUAUUCCUUUUAACCAUGACAUACAAACUAACAAGUCUUCUUUUGCAAACACAUUGUUAAAAGGAUUCAAUCUCCAGUUGCUAACAAUUGAGAAUAAACCAUGGUCCUAGCCACAGAAAUUCAAUACUGGAGCAACAACUCUUAUGGUAACUUCAGAGACCAGUCAAAGACACCUGAGGAAAGCCUGAUGUUAAGAGUCCAUCAAUCUUCUGAGCCAGUGUUUCUCUUCUGUCCUUCAGCUACCUGCCUGAAAGCGGAUUUGCAUCCGCUUUCAACAUUUUUCAUUAUUUUCAUGCAGAAUAAAGGAAAAGAUAAUACAGAAAAGCACCUUAUGUUUGAUCGAAGGAAAUGAACAGGAAAGAGAAACAAAGCAUACAAAAUGAACCUUUAUUAAAUGAAAGAAAAUCUGUUUUGUGGGUCAAAUAUGAAAUAGAAUAUACAAAAACUUUACAUCAGAUCUCUUGUCAAACAAAUUAAAUUCUAUCUAGAAUGAAGUAGCACUUGUUCUUUCCAAGACAACACGAAUGGGUGAAUAUGUAUCUUAUGGCAGUACAGGACCACAUAGACUGCUGUGCUAAGUUUCUGGUUACAAAGAAGAAAAGUUAAAAAUCUAAACGAUGUCUCUAAAGAACUCAACUAUUCAACGAAGUAACCUAAACAUGUUGAAUGCUGACCACUAUGUAUUCUCUUACAAGCAAAUGACAGGUGGGUCAAGUGCAGAGUUCACAAAGCUUGCAUAUCACGCUCUCUGUUUCUAUACAAAUAUAAAUAGUUCUUUUUUAUUUCAAAAAUCCUUUUAUUUUUGAUAGCCUUAUUUGUGGAAAAGGAUGACCAGUUUGUCAGGUUCCUGCUGUACUACCCAGACAAUUCCAUCUCCUUUAUCUCCUCCUUUUUUUGAAAAUUGUAACCCAUAAACCACAGCCUGCAAUAUUUUUAGAAACUUGAUAUAUGUUUAAUCACAAGUCUUUGUACCACUGUCCCGUACAUGAAGGUUCUGCAGAGCUCCUAACAUCUUUGGCAUAGCACACCAUGUCCCAUUUAAUACUUUUUUU